GAGAGAGAAAGAGAGAGAGAGAGAGUUAUUGAGUGCACCUAGUGUACGGGUGCGCGUGGAUAAUUGUCUUUUUUAUCGGUUUAUAGAAGACGAGAGAAGGGUAGAAGAGAUUCAAGAAAGAGAGCUCGGGUUGUAGCUACUCUGUACAGAAGAGGAGUCAGGUGUAAUCUUCUCUUAUUUAAUGAAUCUUAUUUUACCUGCAUAUUUUUUUUCUUUUAUGAUUGUAUCAGCUUUUGCUGAGGAGACGGGUUUAUGGUAAAAACCCGAUUCGACGCUUCCGUUGCGGAAUCCCAACAAUCGAUACCGGAUCCACAACAGUCGGUAUCGGAGCGGGUUGCGGAUUCACGAGAUCCGGUACCGGGGUGAGUACCGUAUUCCCAACAAGUGGUAUCAGAGCUGAAGGUUACCGAUCUGCGGGAGAGAUCGACGGAGAUGGCCACGAAAUUCGAAAUCGAGAAGUUCGAUGGCAAGAACAAUUUCGGAUUAUGGCAAAUUAAAGUACGAGCAAUCCUCGUACAGCAAGAGUUAGACGAGACGUUGAACGGGAAGGAGGCAAAGCCGGCGGAGGUCACGGAUGCGGCAUGGACGAAGAUGGAGCGGAAGGCGCAGAGUACGCUUCAUCUAUCAUUAGCAGAUGAGGUUCUUUACAGUGUAGCCGGCGAAAAGACACCGGUGAAAUUGUGGAAGAAAUUGGAAGAUCUGUACAUGACCAAAUCCCUGACGAACAAAUUGUAUCUGAAGCAGCGACUGUUUACGUUGUGGAUGCAAGAAGCGGCGAGCCUACAUGAUCAUCUAAAUGAGUUCAACAAGGUGGUGGCCCAGUUGACUAGCAUCGAAGUCAAUCUGGAUGACGAAGAUAAGGCGCUGAUUUUAUUAUCUUCGCUACCUACGACAUAUGAGCAUCUAGUGACCACGUUGCUUUAUGGCAAGGAGACCAUAAGCGUGGAGGCGGUCACGGCGGCGCUUCUUUCGAACGAGAUGCAAAAGAUGACUCAGAAGUUUGGCACGCAAAGUCAGGAUGUAGGACUGGUGGUGACUGCGAAGAAGGAGGCGAGAAUAUCGGCGACCGGAUAUCGACAGAAGAAACCGCUAUCUGAGGUAGAAUGCUUUUACUGUCACAGGAAGGGGCAUAUCAAGCGCAAUUGUCGAAAACUUCAGGAUGAUCUGAAGGAGUUAAAGCGACAGAAGGAGCAAACUGUUGUGAACCAGGACGAGACGGUAUCAGCGACGGCGCAGACAGCAGAGUCGGAGAUGAUCGAUUCUGAUGUGUUGUAUGCGGCGACCGGAGGUGCGAAAAUUUCGGACGAUGCGUGGGUGCUCGAUUCGGCGUGUUCUUUUCACGUAUGCCCGGAGAAGGAGUCUUUUGCCACCUAUAAGGCGAUCAAAGGUGGAAAGGCGUUGAUGGGGAACGGGACAGCGUGCAAAGUAUUGGGAGUCGGCAUGGUGAAAAUCCGAAUGCACGAUGGGGUCGUGAGGACGCUGACAGGUGUGCGGCACGUUCCUGGAUUGAAGCGGAAUUUGAUCUCGUUAGGCGCAUUGGACUCGAAGGGUUGCGAUAUUUCAGCUUCAGGUGGAGCUAUGAGGGUCCGAAAACGAGAUCGGGUCGUAUGCGAGGCGAACAAGCGUGGGAACUUAUACGUUCUGAACGGGAGCACAGCCAGAACGGGAGCGAAGACGGUUUGGGUUCCAAAAGUUCGCGGAUGUGCAGUUGCUCGAGACGAAGCGACGGAUGCGGCGACAUCGAGCCGAGGAGACAAGCUCAAGGUGGAGCUUGCAUAGUGAGCUCGACGUAGCGGUUGAAAAUUACAAAUCAAACCAAGGUGGAGAAUGUUAGGAUUUGGUUAGAUUUGUAGUUAAAUCCUAUUUGGAUAAGAAUUAAUAUUUAAAUCUGUUUGAGAUAAAUUAAGAUUUAAAUAUUAAUUAGAGGAUAAACCUAACUAGAUUAGGAUUAAUAUUUAAAUCUAUUAGAGAUUGAUUAAGAUAGAUUUAGAUAUUAAUUAAAGUAUGAAUCCUAAAUAUAUUAGGAUUGGGGUACGUUUUAAGUUGAGCAUUAUAAAUAGGCAUUGUGGCUCUUUUUUUUUAGGGUAGUACGGUUGAGAGCCUGGAGGUGCCGUACCAGAGAGAGAAAAAGAGAGAGAGAGUUAUUGAGUGCACCUAGUGUACGGGUGCGCGUGGAUAAUUGUCUUCUUUAUGGGUUUAUAGAAGACGAGAGAAGGGUAGAAGAGAUUCAAGAAAGAGGGCUCGGGUUGUAGCUACUCUGUACAGAAGAGGAGUCAGGUGUAAUCUUCUCUUAUUUAAUGAAUCUUAUUUUACCUGCAUAUUUUUUUCUUUUAUGAUUGUAUCAGCUUUUGCUGAGGAGACGGGUUUAUGGUAAAAAUCCGAUUCGACGCUUCCGUUGCGAAAUCCCAACAAUCGAUACCGGAUCCACAACAGUCGGUAUCGGAGCUGGUUGUGGAUUCACGAGAUCCGGUACCGGAGCAAGUACCGGAUUCCCAACAUGACAUUACCUGAUCUAAUAAUGCAUUUUG
This 2528-nucleotide long non-coding RNA is filed under the name Ananas comosus (pineapple). RNAcentral's name for it is "long non-coding RNA (ACOM_LNC024790)". The record is from RNAcentral. Lineage: Eukaryota; Viridiplantae; Streptophyta; Magnoliopsida; Poales; Bromeliaceae.